GCUAAAAAUAAUGCAAUAUCACAAAUUAGAUGCAUAUAUUUCCAUUUGAUUUUAAUGUUUGUAAAUUUCAUAAAGUUUAACCAACUCAUUUCAGUUUUGAUUGAAAUUAGAAAGAACAAGAAAAAUGUGGUGAAAAAACUUUAAUUGUUUUUGGACCAAUUUCGAUUAAAACCGAAAGCAACUAAAAACUUUAAAAAUGUACAAAAUAUUUAAGAGUUCUCAAGUCGGCUGUUACCGACUAAGCUAGACUUUAACCCUGAACCCAGAGUGAAACGAUUCUUAUAUAAUUUUCUUACCAAAUUAAUACAAAUAAAAUUAUUCAAUUAUGUACGAAUCUCUUCAUACAUAACAUUACACAAUACUCUAAGGCUGAAGACAUUCAUAAAUCGACAUUUUUCAAUCCACCAUUUACGCUACAUUCAUAAUCAGACUACUCCACUUUUUAGAUCAAAAUAUUGGAAAUACAUCACAUGUAACGCAACUAAUAUAUGAAUGAACGUGCUGCCAUUGUAGUGGAAUAAUAUAAAAUUGUAUCUUAAUUUCACAAUGGAAACCCUUUGGUUUAUAUAUAGACUUGGCCAUCCGAAGUUUCUGGAACUGUAUGUUGAACCACCAACAAAUAGUUUUUCUCUUCAAAAGUCGGUACCCUGUUUAGUUUUUCCAGGUCUUUUAUACUCUAAUAUUUGCCCAACUUUUUACUCGUUUUAGGGGUUUCGGGGUAUGAAGACUAUAAAGAAGCAUUCUUAUUUUGUAUAUAUAUAUAAUAAAUUUACAAGCUUUAAAGAUUGUAUUGAAAAUCUUUUUGAAGCAAUUAUAACUUAAAUGCUUUAAAGAAUUUUCAAAAUAAUGAUAUCCAAUUCUGAAAUAAUCGCCUUUAGCGAUGGCUUGAAAUAAUAUACCUCAAAAAGCGAAAAAUAUUGUUGUCAAAUCCUCAUAGUUCAAGAUUAAUAUACUGGCAUAUAUAAUCAGUGGAUUCAGAGUAUUGGAAUGUAUCACUAAUCGUGUAUGUACCACUAGCUUUGCGCAUCGGCAUUAAAGACACCUCAUUGAAGCAAUAAAUAUUCGAAUUGAUAUAAGAAUAUUCAAUAAAGUACGAUUCAUUGCUAACUCUAUCGUCUUUUGUGAUACCAUCCCUAAGUCUAUAUCCUCCUCAUAAGGCGUCCACUUUUAUAUUAUAUCAGCACUUACCCUAUAUAGCUUAUGACCUCGAAGAGUAUUCACAA
This is a long non-coding RNA of Drosophila mojavensis, 1223 nucleotides long. RefSeq lists it as uncharacterized. The record is from RefSeq and is a predicted model, not a curated record. NCBI's taxonomy places the organism in Eukaryota, Metazoa, Arthropoda, Insecta, Diptera, Drosophilidae. The transcript is spliced from 2 exons.